UACGGAGGAUCCGAGCGUUAUCCGGAUUUACUGGGUUUAAAGGGUGCGUAGGUGGAAUGACAAGUCAGUGGUGAAAACCUAUAGCUUAACUAUAGAACUGCCAUUGAUACUGUUAUUCUUGAGUGUAUUUGAUGUAAGUGGAAUGUGUCGUGUAGCGGUGAAAUGCUUAGAUAUGACACAGAACACCCAUUGCGAAGGCAGCUUACAAAACUACUACUGACACUGAGGCACGAAAGCGUGGGGAU
RNAcentral lists this ribosomal RNA (245 nucleotides) under uncultured bacterium. Its description in RNAcentral is "partial 16S ribosomal RNA". It matches the Rfam family "Bacterial small subunit ribosomal RNA", at positions 524 to 768 of the family's 1533-position model. The record is from RNAcentral.